This 660-nucleotide long non-coding RNA is filed under the name Arabidopsis lyrata. RNAcentral's name for it is "long non-coding RNA (ALYR_LNC000482)". Lineage: Eukaryota; Viridiplantae; Streptophyta; Magnoliopsida; Brassicales; Brassicaceae. The record is from RNAcentral.
CUCAAUCAUCCUCAACAAUUUUAUGAGACCUUUUUUCCUCUUGCCGUAAAAUUUUGAAAGAUCUUCUCCUUUGUGCUUAAAAGUGUGAUUGUGGAGGAGUAUAAUAAAAAACUUCCAAGGUUGGUUAGAUGAAUACAAAUUAGUAAUAACAUCUUCGUUUUUAUCGUCUUUAACCUUGUUAGAAUCACAACCCCAAUCCCCCAAAACAUGUGAAUCAAAAUCUACAAUAAACAUGUCUACAAAUGUCUACAAAUAUCUACAAAUGUCUUCAAACUAAUAGACAUUUAGCUAUCAGUCUAAACCCAAAUCAAAGCAGAUUAAACAAAUAGCAAAGGUUUAAAAGCCGAGAACCUCACGGCGGAAAAAGGUAUAAAAUUUUACGUAGAAGAUUAAAAAAGACUGACCUUGUGUUCAGAUCGGAAUUCACUAUGGAAGACGCCGUUUAAACCAUGUGAUUGAUAAUCAGAACCUCAUUUAGUUAAACAAAAGUCUACUCACAUCAAACGUACAGAAAAGAAACACGUGAAACACAAUCUAGGUAGUAAUAUGGAAAAACAAAAAACCGAGAAAGCAUCAACGGGAUUAAAAAAAAUGAUGUAAACCCUAAUAUGAGAAUCAAAGAGAAUUGAUGUACCUUUUUGAGUGAACCGUAGAACCAUC